This 505-nucleotide ribosomal RNA is filed under the name uncultured Glomus. RNAcentral describes it as "SSU rRNA". It matches the Rfam family "Eukaryotic small subunit ribosomal RNA", at positions 569 to 1079 of the family's 1831-position model. Lineage: Eukaryota; Fungi; Glomeromycota; Glomeromycetes; Glomerales; Glomeraceae. The record is from RNAcentral.
AGCAGCCGCGGUAAUUCCAGCUCCAAUAGCGUAUAUUAAAGUUGUUGCAGUUAAAAAGCUCGUAGUUGAACUUCAGGCCUGGCUGGAUGGUCCGCCUUCUGGGUGAGUACUGUCUGUGGUCGGGUCCUACCUUCUGGCGAAGCGUCAUGGCCUUAACCGGCCGUGGCGGGGAGCCAGGACUUUUACUGUGAAAAAUUAGAGUGUUCAAAGCAGGCACGCGCUUGAAUACAUUAGCAUGGAAUAAUGGAAUAGGACAGUGGUUCUAUUUGUUGGUUUCUAGGACCGUUGUAAUGAUUAAUAGGGAUAGUUGGGGGCAUUAGUAUUCAAUUGUCAGAGGUGAAAUUCUUGGAUUUAUUGAAGACUAACUACUGCGAAAGCAUUUGCCAAGGAUGUUUUCAUUAAUCAAGAACGAAAGUUAGGGGAUCGAAGACGAUCAGAUACCGUCGUAGUCUUAACCAUAAACUAUGCCGACUAGGAAUCGGGUGAUGUUGACAAAAUGACGCGC